UGGAUCCUGAGUACGACGGAGCACGUGAAAUUCCGUCGGAAUCUGGGAGGACCAUCUCCUAAGGCUAAAUACUCUCUAGUGACCGAUAGUGAACCAGUACCGUGAGGGAAAGGUGAAAAGUACCCCGGAAGGGGAGUGAAAGAGAACUUGAAACCGUGUGCUUACAAGUAGUCAGAGCCCGUUAAUGGGUGAUGGCGUGCCUUUUGUAGAAUGAACCGGCGAGUUACGAUCUGAUGCAAGGUUAAGCAGAAAAUGUGGAGCCGUAGCGAAAGCGAGUCUGAAUAGGGCGAAUGAGUAUUUGGUCGUAGACCCGAAACCAGGUGAUCUACCCUUGGUCAGGUUGAAGUUCAGGUAACACUGAAUGGAGGACCGAACCGACUUACGUUGAAAAGUGAGCGGAUGAACUGAGGGUAGCGGAGAAAUUCCAAUCGAACUUGGAGAUAGCUGGUUCUCUCCGAAAUAGCUUUAGGGCUAGCCUCAAGUGAUGAUUAUUGGAGGUAGAGCACUGUUUGGACGAGGGGCCCCUCUCGGGUUACCGAAUUCAGACAAACUCCGAAUGCCAAAUAAUUUAACUUGGGAGUCAGAAUGUGGGUGAUAAGGUCCAUAUUCGAAAGGGAAACAGCCCAGACCACCAGCUAAGGUCCCAAAAUAUAUGUUAAGUGGAAAAGGAUGUGGCGUUGCCCAGACAACUAGGAUGUUGGCUUAGAAGCAGCCAUCAUUUAAAGAGUGCGUAAUAGCUCACUAGUCGAGUGACACUGCGCCGAAAAUGUACCGGGGCUAAACAUAUUACCGAAGCUGUGGAUUGUCCUUUGGACAAUGGUAGGAGAGCGUUCUAAGGGCGUUGAAGCAUGAUCGCAAGGACAUGUGGAGCGCUUAGAAGUGAGAAUGCCGGUGUGAGUAGCGAAAGACGGGUGAGAAUCCCGUCCACCGAUUGACUAAGGUUUCCAGAGGAAGGCUCGUCCGCUCUGGGUUAGUCGGGUCCUAAGCUGAGGCCGACAGGCGUAGGCGAUGGAUAACAGGUUGAUAUUCCUGUACCACCAUUAUUCGUUUUAAGCGAUGGGGGGACGCAGUAGGAUAGGCGAAGCGUGCUGUUGGAG
RNAcentral lists this ribosomal RNA (1097 nucleotides) under Staphylococcus pseudintermedius. Its description in RNAcentral is "partial 23S ribosomal RNA". It matches the Rfam family "Bacterial large subunit ribosomal RNA", at positions 402 to 1503 of the family's 2925-position model. Lineage: Bacteria; Bacillati; Bacillota; Bacilli; Caryophanales; Staphylococcaceae. The record is from RNAcentral.